UCCCUUGUGGUCCAGUAGUUAAGAUACUGCGCUUUUACUGUAGGGGCACAGGUUUGAUUCCUGGUCGGGGAA
RNAcentral lists this transfer RNA (72 nucleotides) under Bos taurus (domestic cattle). It matches the Rfam family "tRNA". Rfam says of the family: Transfer RNA (tRNA) molecules are approximately 80 nucleotides in length. The record is from Rfam by way of RNAcentral. RNAcentral also lists the same sequence under 3 other names. Lineage: Eukaryota; Metazoa; Chordata; Mammalia; Artiodactyla; Bovidae.